UCCGGACUUCCCUUUUAUUUCAUUUCAUUUGUUUUAUUGUUCCCUACAAGAAUAUAUAUGGUUUAGGGGUGGGGAUGUUGACCGUUUACAAGUUUUCAAAUAAGAGGGGGUGGGGUGACCCCCUAGGGACUUCCCUUUAAUUUCAUUUCAUUUGUUUUAUUGUCCCCUACAAGAAUAUAUUGGUUUUAGGGGUGGGGAUGUUGACCGAUUACAAGUUUUGAAACAUGAGGGGGUGGGGUGACCCCCUAGGGACUUCCCUUUAAUUUAAUUUCAUUUGUUUUAUUGUCCCUUA
This 292-nucleotide long non-coding RNA is filed under the name Mytilus galloprovincialis (Mediterranean mussel). The record is from RNAcentral. Lineage: Eukaryota; Metazoa; Mollusca; Bivalvia; Mytilida; Mytilidae.